CUGUAUACAAGAAAGAAAUACGAAACCCAACACUAAAAACAGGGGCCAGAAUUGGGUUAAAUUAAGAAAUACAAAAGGUUGGCUCAGGUAAGCCGUCUCAAAAGAAUUAAGUAAUAAACAAAGGUGAAAAAUAACAAAAGAAUUGGGUUAGUCCCUUGAUUCAUCCUUAUUGUUUACUGAUAUCAUUUUAAGCACCAGCAGUGCUCCAUCUGCUGCCUGUCUUGACCUGCUGUUGACUGUAAUUGUCAACCCAUGACCAAAAUUCAUUCCUUCCUCUCUGAAAUAGCUUAGGCUACAGGAAUUGGGGUCCUUGGACUAGGGAUGCCCAUAUACGCAAGCCUAGGGGAGACCCUAACCUUUGGACUGGGGCGUGGAGAUGGGAUCGGGCCAUAGUUGCUAAAAGUCCCAGGAGGCACCCUAGGAGAUAGGUUAACCUGUUCCAAUGCUCUUGAUUGCAGCUCUGUAGGGUAGUC
RNAcentral lists this unclassified non-coding RNA (473 nucleotides) under Hevea brasiliensis (rubber tree). Lineage: Eukaryota; Viridiplantae; Streptophyta; Magnoliopsida; Malpighiales; Euphorbiaceae. The record is from RNAcentral.